Molecule: ribosomal RNA, 440 nt
Filed under: uncultured bacterium
Lineage: Bacteria
Description: partial 16S ribosomal RNA
Rfam family: Bacterial small subunit ribosomal RNA
Source: RNAcentral
CCUACGGGAGGCAGCAGUGGGGGAUAUUGCACAAUGGGGGGAACCCUGAUGCAGCGACGCCGCGUGGGUGAAGAAGCGCCUCGGCGCGUAAAGCUCUGUCUGCAGGGAAGAAAAUGACGGUACCUGAAGAAGAAGCCCCGGCUAACUACGUGCCAGCAGCAGCGGUUAUACGGAGGGGGCAAGCGUUAUCCGGAUUUACUGGGUGUAAAGGGGGCGUAGUCGGCGUUGCAAGCCAGUAGUGAAAGGCCGGGGCCCAACCCCGGGACUGCCCUUGGAACUGCGUGGCUGGAGUGCAGGAGGGGCAGGCGGAAUUCGUGGUGUAGCGGUGAAAUGCGUAGAUAUCAGGAGGAACACCGGUGGCGAAGGCAGCCUGCUGGACUGCAACUGACGUUGAGGCCCGAAAGCGUGGGGAGCAAACAGGAUUAGAUACCCUAGUAGUC